This 608-nucleotide ribosomal RNA is filed under the name Creosphaeria sassafras. Its description in RNAcentral is "eukaryotic LSU rRNA". The stretch from base 233 to 386 matches the Rfam family "5.8S ribosomal RNA". Lineage: Eukaryota; Fungi; Ascomycota; Sordariomycetes; Xylariales; Xylariaceae. The record is from RNAcentral.
GCGUAUGCGAUGCGGAGGGACAUUACAGAGUUAUCUAACUCCCAAACCCAAUGUGAACCUACCUAUGUUGCCUCGGCGGGAGAAGCCUACCCGGUACCUACCCUGUAGCUACCCGGGAACUACCCUGUAGCUACCCGGGAACUACCCUGUAGUUGAUGGCGGACCCGCCGGUGGACAUUUUAAAAACUCUUGUUUUACUGUGACACUCUGAGUAACAAACUAAAUAAGUUAAAACUUUCAACAACGGAUCUCUUGGUUCUGGCAUCGAUGAAGAACGCAGCGAAAUGCGAUAAGUAAUGUGAAUUGCAGAAUUCAGUGAAUCAUCGAAUCUUUGAACGCACAUUGCGCCCAUUAGUAUUCUAGUGGGCAUGCCUGUUCGAGCGUCAUUUCAACCCUUAAGCCUUAGUUGCUUAGCGUUGGGAGGUUGCCUCUCGCAACUCCCUAAAAUCAGUGGCAAGGACCACGACACCUUGAAGUGUAGUAGUUUAAUUCUCACUUUGGAGGACCGUAGCCCAGCCAUAAACCAACUAUUUUUAAUUAUUGGUUGACCUCGGAUCAGGUAGGAAUACCCGCUGAACUUAAGCAUAUCAUAACGGGGAGAGGAAAAA